CCUACGGGGGGCAGCAGUGGGGAAUAUUGCACAAUGGGGGAAACCCUGAUGCAGCGACGCCGCGUGAGUGAAGAAGUACCUCGGUAUGUAAAGCCCUAUUAGUCGGGAAGAAAAUGACGGUACCUGAUUAAGAAGCCCCGGCCAACUACGUGCCAGCAGCCGCGGCCAAAAGUAAGGCGCAAGCGUUAUCCGGAUUUACUGGGUGUGAAGGGAGGGUAAGCGGGAACACAAGUCUGGAGUGAAAUGCCGGGGCUUAACCCCGGAACUGCUUUGGAAACUGUGCAGCUUGAGUGCAGGAGAGGUAAGUGGAAUGCCUAGUGUAGCGGUGACAUGCGUAGAUAUUAGGAAGAACACCAGUGGCGAAGGCAGCUUACUGGACUGUAACUGACGUUGAGGCUCGAAAGCGUGGGUAUCGAACAGGAUUAGAUACCCCUGUAGUC
Molecule: ribosomal RNA, 440 nt
Filed under: uncultured bacterium
Lineage: Bacteria
Description: partial 16S ribosomal RNA
Rfam family: Bacterial small subunit ribosomal RNA
Source: RNAcentral